RNAcentral lists this non-coding RNA (132 nucleotides) under Bacillus subtilis subsp. subtilis. RNAcentral also lists the same sequence under 1 other name. Lineage: Bacteria; Bacillati; Bacillota; Bacilli; Caryophanales; Bacillaceae. The record is from RNAcentral.
UUAAUAAUUAAAGAUAGCUGCUCCAACAAUGAUCAACAAAAUGAAUAGCACCACGAUCAAAGCGAAGGAGCUCCCGAAACCGUUUGAGUAACCAGAGUUUCCACUGUAUCCACCAGAAUUGUAGAAUCCCAU